This 465-nucleotide ribosomal RNA is filed under the name Vreelandella stevensii. RNAcentral describes it as "partial 16S ribosomal RNA". It matches the Rfam family "Bacterial small subunit ribosomal RNA", at positions 338 to 795 of the family's 1533-position model. The record is from RNAcentral. Lineage: Bacteria; Pseudomonadati; Pseudomonadota; Gammaproteobacteria; Oceanospirillales; Halomonadaceae.
CCUACGGGAGGCAGCAGUGGGGAAUAUUGGACAAUGGGCGAAAGCCUGAUCCAGCCAUGCCGCGUGUGUGAAGAAGGCCUUCGGGUUGUAAAGCACUUUCAGUGGGGAAGAAAGCCUUGGGGCUAAUACCCUCGAGGAAGGACAUCACCCACAGAAGAAGCACCGGCUAACUCCGUGCCAGCAGCCGCGGUAAUACGGAGGGUGCGAGCGUUAAUCGGAAUUACUGGGCGUAAAGCGCGCGUAGGCGGUCUGAUAAGCCGGUUGUGAAAGCCCCGGGCUCAACCUGGGAACGGCAUCCGGAACUGUCAGGCUAGAGUGCAGGAGAGGAAGGUAGAAUUCCCGGUGUAGCAGUGAAAUGCGUAGAGAUCGGGAGGAAUACCAGUGGCGAAGGCGGCCUUCUGGACUGACACUGACGCUGAGGUGCGAAAGCGUGGGUAGCAAACAGGAUUAGAUACCCGUGUAGUC